Molecule: long non-coding RNA, 2143 nt
Organism: Schistocerca nitens (vagrant locust)
Lineage: Eukaryota; Metazoa; Arthropoda; Insecta; Orthoptera; Acrididae
Exons: 3
Source: RefSeq, a predicted model, not a curated record
AGGAAAGUGACUUACCAUUUCACAGGUAAUAGGACUACCGAUACAAUACGAUAAAAAUACAGACUUAGUGCGUUUGCUAAUGCGAUGUUUUUGAACAGGUUUCUCCUAAAGCACCCAGAGCUGCUAAAGAAGUGUAUUACUUCCGUGAAGCGGAAAGGUUUUAAUCCUACGUCUUGCAGUUCUCUUUGCGGAAACCAUUUGCGACAAGAUGAUUACGUAGUGAGCCCUAGAACGUGGAAGAAACGUCUCAAACCCGAAGCAGUGCCAUCAGUUUUUGACUUUCCGACUCAUUUGAUGCCACCAAAUAAACAGCGACGAUGACAUGUUGUUAGGAUUUUGAGUGACAACGAAUGCUUCUCCAUUUGAGCGUUCUGUCAUAGAAUCUGUGCUCGAUUUGCCAGCUGCAGAACCUACUGAUUGCGUGGAGAAUGUUGUCAAUGAGAAUUCUUCCGUGGAAAGCAUGUCCCAAUUAUCCAAUGCAGAAGCUGCGAAUUGUGUCAAAAACAGUGCAGUUGGUUCUUCAGUAAUUGAUUGUGGUAUACAGUCGAAAGUAGAAAUGGAAGACAAGGCGACCGAAACUUGCAAUUUUUUCUCAGACAUUGUGCACGAAUUAAAACGUAAACUGAAGUGCGUCUGUGAAAAACUUCGAAGAAGAGAGAAGAAAGUAUGUUCCAUGGAUGACAUCAUAAGUUCAUUGAAGGAGAAUGGGCAUCUUCCUAAGAAGUUACAUAAUUUCCUCAAUCAUCAGAAAGGAACACAAGUGGAAUUAGUGUGCAAUUUAGUGAACAACUCUCUCUCGUCAAAGGGUAAUAGAUACACAACAAAUGUGAAAAUGUUUGUGAUGACUGUGUACUUUUAUUCACCAGCAGCAUGUGAUUACCUGCAAAAAUUAAUGCCUCUGCCCCAUAAAUCAUUGAUUUCCAAAUGGAUGGCAAGUGUAGACUGUGAACCUGGCUUCUUAAAAGAUUUUUUUAAGUACAUUGAUUUGAACCUAAUUGUAAGGGACCAGUUCAGCGAUUCAUGUUUAAUUGUAGACAGUAUGGCAAUUAGGAAGCAAGUAGUUUGGGACCGAGGAACUAAGCAAUACACAGUUUUUUUUUAGACUUUGGUGGGGAAGUUUCUCAGUCAAAAGAAGUAAUAGAGGCAUCUAAGGCUCUGACUUUCAUGCUUGGCUCUAUUAAAGGCAAAUUUAAAUGCCCGAUUGCAUAUUUCUUUAUCAACGGUGUACAGGCAAAUAAUCAGGCCACACUGAUAAAAUCUGCUUUGAGAGGCUGCAUAGUUCUGGCAUUAGGGUUUGGUGUGUUACAUGUGAUGGCUGCAAGGUAAAUAUAAGCACUUGGCUGUACUUUAAAUUUUUCCAAGGGUGAUUUUAAAAGCCACUUUCCUCAUCCUGUGGAAAAAUACAAUGUUUAUUGUAUCUUUGACAUGUGUCAUAUGAUUAAGUUAGCCAUAAAUGCUGUAGCAGAAGUAUCUAUCGAGUCUCCAACUGGCAUUAUUAGAUGGCAUUUCAUUGAGCAAUUGAAGAAGGUACAACAAGAAGAAGGUAUGACAUUUGCCAACAAACUAUCAGAGCAACAUAUAAGUUAUGUAAAUAGAAAAAUGAAUGUUUCAUUAGCUACACAGACUUUGAAUUCUAGUGUGGCAGAUAGUAUAGAGUUUUUGAGGAGGGUUGGUGAACCAAAUUUUAAAGGAAGUGAAGCAACAGUAGAAUUUUUGUAUUAUAUUGAUAGGAUUUUUGAUAUUCUGAACUCCAGAAAUCCAUUAGGUAAAGGGUAUAAGAGCCCCCUGAGACUUGACAACAAAUCUUAUUGGCUUGGUAUUUACAGACACUAAAAAUUAUAUCAAAAGCUUAAAAAUUAUUGGUGUUCCGUUGCUGCUCCAUGCAAGAAGUACUUUUGCUUUUGGGAUAAUUUUCGAUAUGCAAUCAGUCAGGCACAUAGCUCUGUCAAGUAUGCUUCGUGUCGAAUCUCCUCUGAAGUAUUUGCUGACAUAUAAACUGUCACAAGAUCACAUAGGGCUUUUUUUUUCCUGCUUUCGGCCCAGAGGUGGUUGGAACAACAAUCCAAAUGCAUACCAGUUCAAAUGUGCCAUGAGAAAGUUUCUCUUGGGUAACAGUGUCACCGUAAUGAAUGAGAAUUGAUCA